This 301-nucleotide ribosomal RNA is filed under the name uncultured bacterium. Its description in RNAcentral is "partial 16S ribosomal RNA". It matches the Rfam family "Bacterial small subunit ribosomal RNA", at positions 509 to 809 of the family's 1533-position model. The record is from RNAcentral.
CAGCAGCCGCGGUAAUACGUAGGUGGCAAGCGUUGUCCGGAAUUAUUGGGCGUAAAGGGCUCGCAGGCGGUUUCUUAAGUCUGAUGUGAAAGCCCCCGGCUCAACCGGGGAGGGUCAUUGGAAACUGGGAAACUUGAGUGCAGAAGAGGAGAGUGGAAUUCCACGUGUAGCGGUGAAAUGCGUAGAGAUGUGGAGGAACACCAGUGGCGAAGGCGACUCUCUGGUCUGUAACUGACGCUGAGGAGCGAAAGCGUGGGGAGCGAACAGGAUUAGAUACCCGCGUAGUCCCUGUCUCUUAUAU